CUAGAACAGGAGGAGGAGUUGGAAGAGGGAAACCUAUGAUGCUUUCUCUUCCUUUUCUCUUCAAACAGCACUGCUUUUGGUCACUGAAAAAGGGGCUUCAUUGGCUCGCCCAACAACAAGACAGCGUUAGGAGCGUUGGUUGGAGAUCUCCCUGACGGCGCUGUUAGUCUGAAGGAUCGAGAUUGCCUGGACCGGGAGGGGCACGCAUUGCAGUUUUUAUAAGCGGCGCGCGCGCUCCUUCAGUCCUUAGUUGAAGAUAGUGAGAAGCAACCCUAGCGUACAUUUUGCUGGUAGCCGUCCGAGAAUUUCUUUUCUAUACAACUAUUACAAAUUCAGAAACACUAAUCUGGAUAUCAUAUACCACGUUGUGAUUCACAUAGGUGCAAAGCAGACUGGUGUGUGAGAAGAACACAUAGAAGUUGUAGCUCCCUUCCCCUGAAAGGAACUUUACUAAACUGCAACGGGGUGGGGGGGGAGGGUACACAUAUUGACAAAAAAUACUAUAGACAGCCACGAAGGCAAAAGCGUUAAAAUUCUCUAAGCUCUUGAACGCCAAUGUUUCGCACGCGACCUGCCCGGGAGGAGGAGCUGAAGAAAUAGAUGUGAGAGGCCACGCCUUUUGUGCGAAUAUGUGGAAAUGCGCAAGCGCA
This 650-nucleotide long non-coding RNA is filed under the name Salvator merianae (Argentine black and white tegu). Its description in RNAcentral is "lncRNA (ENSSMRG00000001355.1)". Lineage: Eukaryota; Metazoa; Chordata; Lepidosauria; Squamata; Teiidae. The record is from RNAcentral.